CCGAGCUCGUGCCCUUCGGGGUAGACCUCCAUCCGUGCCUAUCCAACAGCGUUGCUUCGGCGGUUGCCCCCAACCGCCGGAGGCCCAAACCCUGGAAGUCAGUGUCGUCCGAGUACUAUACAAUAGUUA
This 129-nucleotide unclassified non-coding RNA is filed under the name uncultured Leotiomycetes. RNAcentral describes it as "sequence contains ITS1". Lineage: Eukaryota; Fungi; Ascomycota; Leotiomycetes. The record is from RNAcentral.